GCAGUAGCCGCGGGAAAACAGAGGGUGCGAGCGUUAAUCGGAUUUACUGGGCGUAAAGCGUGCGUAGGCGGCUUCUUAAGUCGGAUGUGAAAUCCCUGAGCUUAACUUAGGAAUUGCAUUCGAUACUGGGAAGCUAGAGUAUGGGAGAGGAUGGUAGAAUUCCAGGUGUAGCGGUGAAAUGCGUAGAGAUCUGGAGGAAUACCGAUGGCGAAGGCAGCCAUCUGGCCUAAUACUGACGCUGAGGUACGAAAGCAUGGGGAGCAAACAGGAUUAGAUACCCCGGUAGUCCCUGUCUCUUAUAC
RNAcentral lists this ribosomal RNA (302 nucleotides) under uncultured bacterium. Its description in RNAcentral is "partial 16S ribosomal RNA". It matches the Rfam family "Bacterial small subunit ribosomal RNA", at positions 508 to 807 of the family's 1533-position model. The record is from RNAcentral.